This 1152-nucleotide ribosomal RNA is filed under the name uncultured bacterium. RNAcentral's name for it is "bacterial SSU rRNA". It matches the Rfam family "Bacterial small subunit ribosomal RNA", at positions 337 to 1502 of the family's 1533-position model. The record is from RNAcentral.
UCCUACGGGAGGCAGCAGUGGGGAAUAUUGGGCAAUGGGCGGAAGCCUGACCCAGCGACGCCGCGUGAAGGAGGAAGGCUUUCGAGUUGUAAACUUCUUUGGGGAGGGACGAAGAUGACGGUACCUCCAGAACAAGCCACGGCUAACUACGUGCCAGCAGCCGCGGUAAUACGUAGGUGGCGAGCGUUAUCCGGAUUUACUGGGUGUAAAGGGCGCGCAGGCGGCCCUGGAAGUCAGAUGUGAAAGAUCAAGGCUUAACUUUGACAGGUCAUCUGAAACUUUGGGGCUUGAGUAUCAGAGGGGAAAGUGGAAUUCCUAGUGGAGCGGUAAAAUGCACAGAGAUUAGGAGGAACACCGGUGGCGAAGGCGACUUUCUGGCUGACAACUGACGCUGAGGCGCGAAAGCGUGGGGAGCAAACAGGAUUAGAUACCCUGGUAGUCCACGCCGUAAACGAUGAUUACUGGGUGUAGGGAGUAUCGACUCUCUCUGUGCCGAAGCAAACGCGAUAAGUAAUCCACCUGGGGAGUACGGCCGCAAGGCUAAAACUCAAAGGAAUUGACGGGGACCCGCACAAGCAGUGGAGUAUGUGGUUUAAUUCGAGGCAACGCGAAGAACCUUACCAGGGAUUGACAUCCUGCGCUAGGCUUGGAGACAGGUUGUUCCUUCGGGACGCAGAGACAGGUGGUGCAUGGUUGUCGUCAGCUCGUGUCGUGAGAUGUUCGGUUAAGUCCGGCAACGAGCGCAACCCUUGUUGUCAGUUACCAUCAUUAAGUUGGGGACUUUGGCGAGACUGCCGUUGACAAAACGGAGGAAGGUGGGGAUGACGUCAAAUCAUCAUGCCCCUUAUAUCCUGGGCUACACACGUACUACAAUGGGCGUUACAGCGGGCAGCCACACCGCGAGGUGGAGCGAAUCCCGAAAGGCGUCCUCAGUUCGGAUUGCAGGCUGCAACUCGCCUGCAUGAAGUCGGAAUUGCUAGUAAUGGCAGGUCAGCAUACUGCCGUGAAUACGUUCCCGGGCCUUGUACACACCGCCCGUCACACCAUGAGAGUCUGUAACACCCGAAGUCAGUAGUCUAACCUGAUUAGAUUAGGGGGACGCUGCCGAAGGUGGGAUAGAUAAUUGGGGGUGAAGUCGUAACAAGGUAACCA